Molecule: transfer RNA, 65 nt
Filed under: Thalamita sima
Lineage: Eukaryota; Metazoa; Arthropoda; Malacostraca; Decapoda; Portunidae
Description: tRNA-Cys
Rfam family: tRNA
About the family: Transfer RNA (tRNA) molecules are approximately 80 nucleotides in length. Their secondary structure includes four short double-helical elements and three loops (D, anti-codon, and T loops).
Source: RNAcentral
GGUUCUAUAGUAAAACUUAUAAUAUUAGAUUGCAAAUCUAAAGAUGUGCUAAAGCACUGGAACUU